UUAGCUGUGUUUUAUGGUAUAGUGAUAACAGGCUGUGCUUUCGUCGUCAAAUACUUUGGUGCAUUGGUAUUACAGGUAGAUGUCGUUCAUUUGGUUGUAGUGAAAUUAAUACAUUUUCUGCCAUAGAACACAAUUACCACAUUGGUCAGGUCUGGGAACUUACCGCCAGUAAGUGACUGAUAAUGAUACAAUACCCCCAAGGAAUGCUAUAUAAAAAGUCCCCGCUUGAGAACGGAUAUAUCAAAUGUCAUUCUCUCAAAUUGGUGACUCCAAAGACGUAGGGGGUGGGAGUAUGGCUGUAGCUCCCAGUCAGAUUUUAUUAGUCGGGCAGAUUCUACUUAAAAUCGGG
Paramuricea clavata is the source of this 349-nucleotide non-coding RNA. The record is from the annotation of a GenBank genome assembly. Lineage: Eukaryota; Metazoa; Cnidaria; Anthozoa; Malacalcyonacea; Plexauridae.